Molecule: ribosomal RNA, 463 nt
Filed under: uncultured bacterium
Lineage: Bacteria
Description: partial 16S ribosomal RNA
Rfam family: Bacterial small subunit ribosomal RNA
Source: RNAcentral
GAUGAACGCUGACAGAAUGCUUAACACAUGCAAGUCGAUGGGGAAGUGGUGCUUGCACCAUGGUAACCAUGGCGGACGGGUGAGUAACGCGUAAGGAACUUACCUGCGGGACCGGGAUAACAGCAGGAAACUGCUGACAAGACCGGAUAAGGUCAUUAAGCUGCAUAGCUUAGUGAUGAAAGGAGACGCCUGCGGAGAGCCUUGCGUCCUAUUAGCUAGUUGGAGGGGUAACGGCCCACCAAGGCGAAGAUAGGUAGCCGGCCUGAGAGGGUGGACGGCCACAAGGGGACUGAGAUACGGCCCUUACUCCUACGGGAGGCAGAAGUGGGGAAUAUUGGACAAUGGGGGCAACCCUGAUCCAGCAAUUCUGUGUGCACGAAGACGGUUUUCGGAUUGUAAAGUGCUUUCAGCAGGGAAGAAGGAAGUGACGGUACCUGCAGAAGAAGCGACGGCUAAAUACGUG